RNAcentral lists this ribosomal RNA (253 nucleotides) under uncultured bacterium. Its description in RNAcentral is "partial 16S ribosomal RNA". It matches the Rfam family "Bacterial small subunit ribosomal RNA", at positions 524 to 776 of the family's 1533-position model. The record is from RNAcentral.
UACGUAGGGAGCAAGCGUUGUCCGGAAUCAUUGGGCGUAAAGCGCGCGUAGGUGGCCUCGUAAGUCCGCUGUGAAAGUCAAAGGCUCAACCUUUGAAAGCCGGUGGAUACUGUGAGGCUAGAGUACGGGAGAGGCGAGUGGAAUUCCUGGUGUAGCGGUGGAAUGCGCAGAUAUCAGGAGGAACACCAAUAGCGAAGGCAGCUCGCUGGGACGUUACUGACGCUGAGGCGCGAAAGCGUGGGGAGCGAACAGG